AGGUAGAGAAUACUCAGGCGCUUGAGAGAACUCGGGUGAAGGAACUAGGCAAAAUGGUGCCGUAACUUCGGGAGAAGGCACGCUGGCAUUAGGUAAAGGGACUUGCUCCCGGCGCCGAAGCCAGUCGCAGAUACCAGCUGGCUGCAACUGUUUAAUAAAAACACAGCACUGUGCAAACACGAAAGUGGACGUAUACGGUGUGACGCCUGCCCGGUGCUGGAAGGUUAAUUGAUGGGGUCAGCCGCAAGGCGAAGCUCUUGAUCGAAGCCCCAGUAAACGGCGGCCGUAACUAUAACGGUCCUAAGGUAGCGAAAUUCCUUGUCGGGUAAGUUCCGACCUGCACGAAUGGCGUAAUGAUGGCCAGGCUGUCUCCACCCGAGACUCAGUGAAAUUGAACUCGCUGUGAAGAUGCAGUGUACCCGCGGCAAGACGGAAAGACCCCGUGAACCUUUACUAUAGCUUGACACUGAACAUUGAGCCUUGAUGUGUAGGAUAGGUGGGAGGCAUAG
Molecule: ribosomal RNA, 509 nt
Filed under: Yersinia enterocolitica
Lineage: Bacteria; Pseudomonadati; Pseudomonadota; Gammaproteobacteria; Enterobacterales; Yersiniaceae
Description: partial 23S ribosomal RNA
Rfam family: Bacterial large subunit ribosomal RNA
Source: RNAcentral